Long non-coding RNA from Perca fluviatilis (European perch), 917 nucleotides. RefSeq lists it as uncharacterized. NCBI's taxonomy places the organism in Eukaryota, Metazoa, Chordata, Actinopteri, Perciformes, Percidae. The transcript has 8 exons. The record is from RefSeq and is a predicted model, not a curated record.
CGUCCUGGAGGAAGGCCAGCCCCUUCUGCCCCUCCCACCAUGAGAUCUUCUGGCCCUGAACUCGACGCCCAGCGGAGACGGGAGCUGCGGAAAAAAAACAAACCCAACCGGAGAAACAUCACAAGCUAGAAGGUCUACCCAGCAGCCUUUUGAUGGCUUUAACCCUGAACUGAAAUCUGGAUCAGGAAUAAGAAGGAGCCUCCAUGUUCAGGCUUUGACCUGAAGGGCGAGUGUUUGUGCAAGGAAGAGCAAAGAAGAGGACCAAAACAAGAAAAGACAGAAACAGAGAGCCAACUCUUUGAUAUCCAGCGAGGAGUUUUAAAGUCAACAUGGUCAACAACGUCCUUCAAGAGUUCAGAAACGAAAUCUACAACAGCCGGGCAAACGCCAUCUGCUGAUCGUGUGAUACGAUCAUCGCUCCAGAACAGCUGUUGAAUGGACCUUGUGCGGCAGCCAGGUUUCCCCCGGCGCUGUCCCCAGACACACACACCCUCUCCGGAUCGAUGCUGUAGCGCUCCAAAACCUGAGCCGACAGGAAGGCCCGCGAUGCCGCUAACGCAUCGUGGUACUGAUCUGGGAACACCGCCUCUGGAGCGAGACGAUUUGAUGUCCCCAAAGCAUGUAAUUUCAACUCUGAUCCAUACCUCACAGCUUUCAUUGGCUUAACCAUCUCCAUGAGAACUGAACUCCAUCCAUUUGUCCAAGAACUUACUCCACGGACAUGAUGACAGAGUCCAGCUCCUCCGCCAUUUUCCGACAAAGAAGGUCGUACGAUCGCAUCCCUGCGAAGCAGGCAGACUCGAUAAGUCAUGUCAACAAUAAUGUACGUGUUAUAUGUCAUAUUGGUUGAAUACAGGGAUGAAUUUUCCUUCUUUUCUGCAGCUGUCAGAGUUUUUCAAAUCAACACUCACUCCCGC